UGCGUAGAUAUCGGGAGGAACACCCGUGGCGAAGGCGGCCUUCUGGGCUGUUCCUGACGCUGAAGGCGAAAGCUAGGGGAGCGAACGGGAUUAGAUACCCCGGUAGUCCUAGCUGUAAACGAUGGAUGCUGGGUGUGGGGGGUGUAAAUUCCCUCUGUGCCGAAGCAAACGCGUUAAGCAUCCCGCCUGGGGACUACGGCCGCAAGGCUAAAACCCAAACGAAUUGACGGGGGCCCGCACAAGCAGCGGAGCGUGUGGUUUAAUUCGAUGCUACACGAAGAACCUUACCUGGGUUUGACAUGCACGUGGUAGGGAACCGAAAGGGGACCGACCUUCGGGAGCGUGCACAGGUGCUGCAUGGCUGUCGUCAGCUCGUGCCGUGAGGUGUCGGGUUAAGUCCCGUAACGAGCGCAACCCUUGCCCUUAGUUACAAGUGUCUAAGGGGACUGCCCGGGACAACUGGGGGGAAGGUGGGGAUGACGUCAAGUCAGCAUGGCCUUUAUAUCCAGGGCUACACACACGCUACAAUGGCCGGUACAAUAGGUUGCGAAGUCGUGAGGCGGAGCCAAUCCUCAAAGCCGGUCUCAGUUCGAAUUGCAGUCUGCAACUCGACUGCAUGAAGCUGGAGUUGCUAGUAAUCGCAGGUCAGCUAUACUGCGGUGAAUACGUUCCCGGGCCUUGUACA
This 685-nucleotide ribosomal RNA is filed under the name uncultured organism. Its description in RNAcentral is "bacterial SSU rRNA". It matches the Rfam family "Bacterial small subunit ribosomal RNA", at positions 687 to 1387 of the family's 1533-position model. The record is from RNAcentral.